Molecule: ribosomal RNA, 254 nt
Filed under: uncultured bacterium
Lineage: Bacteria
Description: partial 16S ribosomal RNA
Rfam family: Bacterial small subunit ribosomal RNA
Source: RNAcentral
UACGUAGGUGGCAAGCGUUGUCCGGAAUUACUGGGCGUAAAGGGCGCGUAGGCGGUCUUCUAAGUCUUGUGUGAAAUCCCUCGGCUCAACUGAGGAACUGCACGGGAUACUGGAAGACUUGAGUUCGGGAGAGGGAAGCGGAAUUCCGGGUGUAGCGGUGAGAUGCGUAGAUAUCCGGAGGAACACCGGUGGCGAAGGCGGCUUCCUGGACCGAUCACUGACGCUGAGGCGCGAAAGCUAGGGGAGCAAACGGG